UACGGAGGGUGCAAGCGUUAUCCGGAUUCACUGGGUUUAAAGGGUGUGUAGGCGGGUAUUUAAGUCAGUGGUGAAAUCUCCAGGCUCAACCUGGAAACUGCCAUUGAUACUAUUUAUCUUGAAUCCUGUUGAGGUGGGCGGAAUAUAUCAUGUAGCGGUGAAAUGACUUAGAUAUGAUAUAGAACACCGAUUGCGAAGGCAGCUCACUAAGCAGGUAUUGACGCUGAGGCACGAAAGCGUGGGGAUCAAACAGG
RNAcentral lists this ribosomal RNA (254 nucleotides) under uncultured bacterium. Its description in RNAcentral is "partial 16S ribosomal RNA". It matches the Rfam family "Bacterial small subunit ribosomal RNA", at positions 524 to 776 of the family's 1533-position model. The record is from RNAcentral.